RNAcentral lists this unclassified non-coding RNA (339 nucleotides) under soil metagenome. RNAcentral's name for it is "partial contains 5.8S ribosomal RNA, internal transcribed spacer 2, and large subunit ribosomal RNA". The stretch from base 1 to 120 matches the Rfam family "5.8S ribosomal RNA", at positions 35 to 154 of the family's 154-position model. The record is from RNAcentral.
GAUGAAGAACGUAGCGAAAUGCGAUAAGUAAUGUGAAUUGCAGAAUUCCGUGAAUCAUCGAAUCUUUGAACGCACAUUGCGCCCCCUGGUAUUCCGGGGGGCAUGCCUGUCCGAGCGUCAUUGCAACCCUCAAGCGCGGCUUGUGUGUUGGGCUUCGUCCCCCCGUGGACGUGCCCGAAAGGCAGUGGCGGCGUCCCGAAUGGUGCCCGAGCGUAUGGGAACUCUCUUCCGCUCGAACCGGCCCAUUCGGCGCUGGUCGAACCCCAAUUUUUUUUUUCCGGUUGACCUCGGAUCAGGUAGGGAUACCCGCUGAACUUAAGCAUAUCAAUAAGCGGAGGA